Molecule: ribosomal RNA, 428 nt
Filed under: uncultured bacterium
Lineage: Bacteria
Description: partial 16S ribosomal RNA
Rfam family: Bacterial small subunit ribosomal RNA
Source: RNAcentral
GUGGGGAAUAUUGGACAAUGGACCAAAAGUCUGAUCCAGCAAUUCUGUGUGCUCGAUGAAGGCCUUCGGGUUGUAAAGAGCUUUAAGUAGGGAAGAAGAAAGUGACGGUACCUACAGAAUAAGCGACGGCUAAAUACGUGCCAGCAGCCGCGGUAAUACGUAUGUCGCAAGCGUUAUCCGGAAUUAUUGGGCAUAAAGGGCGUCUAGGCGGUUUAGAAAGUCUGAUGUGAAAAUGCGGGGCUCAACUCCGUAUUGCGUUGGAAACUACUAGACUAGAGUAUUGGAGAGGUAAGCGGAACUACAAGUGUAGAGGUGAAAUUCGUAGAUAUUUGUAGGAAUGCCAAUUGGGAAGCCAGCUUACUGGACAAAUACUGACGCUGAAGCGCGAAAGCUAGGGGAGCAAACGGGAUUAGAUACCCCGGUAGUCC